RNAcentral lists this ribosomal RNA (497 nucleotides) under uncultured bacterium. RNAcentral describes it as "partial 16S ribosomal RNA". It matches the Rfam family "Bacterial small subunit ribosomal RNA", at positions 28 to 507 of the family's 1533-position model. The record is from RNAcentral.
GAUGAACGCUGGCGGCGUGCCUAAUACAUGCAAGUCGAGCGAACAGACGUGGAGCUUGCUCCUUUGACGUUAGCGGCGGACGGGUGAGUAACAUGUGGGUAACCUACCUAUAAGACUGGGAUAACUUCGGGAAACCGGAGCUAAUACCGGAUAAUAUUUCGAACCGCAUGGUUCGAUAGUGAAAGAUGGCUCUGCUAUCACUUAUAGAUGGACCUGCGCCGUAUUAGCUAGUUGGUAAGGUAACGGCUUACCAAGGCAACGAUACGUAGCCGACCUGAGAGGGUGAUCGGCCACACUGGAACUGAGACACGGUCCAGACUCCUACGGGAGGCAGCAGUAGGGAAUCUUCCGCAAUGGGCGAAAGCCUGACGGAGCAACGCCGCGUGAGUGAUGAAGGUCUUCGGAUCGUAAAACUCUGUUAUUAGGGAAGAACAAACGUGUAAGUAACUGUGCACGUCUUGACGGUACCUAAUCAGAAAGCCACGGCUAACUACGUG